GAGCCAUGGAGGGCGUAGAGGAUGAGGUCACCGCGAUGGCCUCUGCAACCCCGUUCGCCCCUGUCCCCUUCCUCGCUCCCACGCACGGCGAAUCCACCCGCCGUUGGCCACUUUCGUCUCUCGCCGGACGCAAGGCUGGUCCGAAUCGAGUGAGGCAGGUCGGACCUAGAGGAGGUGAAUCUCGUGUGGGUGCAUCUGCUGCGACCGGCUCGAGCAUUGAAGCCAGGACCUGGAGGAGGUGGUUCCUAGGUGGCGCAGCUUCUUCAACUCGGUCGAGAGGGGCAACACGUAGCUGGAGGCUACAGAUCUCGUGUAGCGCAGCCACUUCGACCGUCUCGACGGCGGCAGGCUGGAGCUAGCUACGCUUGACGCAGCGGUCGCGAAUCGAUAUGUCACGCGUCCUCCUCCGACCACAAAUUUGAAAUAAGAAGGCAAGGAGAUUGCGGAUCAGCAUGAGGAGGAAACAAGCAGAUUCGAAAAAUUCCCCAAUGCAUAUCCUUCAACACUCAAGCUCUUACAGAGUCUUCUAGCGGCUAGCACUGGACCAAAAGUAAGAGCAACAUUUUCUCGGUAUGUCAUUCAAAUUCGUCCUUCCAAUGCAUUUCUUCUUCCUUGUAUAUUUAUAGCAAUGUAGACUUCCAUGUCCUCCAUUGGAAUCUUAAUAUUAACUUUUUCUCCAAGGUAAAUGAAUCUUGUGUUGUUACUUCUAUUGUAUUGAAGCUUGUGAUGUUUCUAUAUGCAUUGAUUGCACAGUAUUCCUGGUUGCGACGCUGUAGGGUACAUCAUAUAGCAAGUCAAAUUCUGUUGUGUAAUGGAUAUUCAUCUAAGAGAAUUUUUAGAUCUGGGAUUUUUACUUAGGUCCUUCUUGUAAUGUUGUUUUAAAUACGGUUCAGAUCCGACAUGGAAUGUUGAUUUUUAAAUACGACGAGUGUUCAUUUGUAUGUGUGAUGUGAGGUUACAGUAGACAUUGAAAAAACACAAGAGAUGGUCGAUAGUGAAAGGAACCACAAAGAGAUGUACAUUUUCUUCAUUUGAGAAUUAAUUCGUAAAGCUUUUCAUGAUUCAAAAAAUUAAGUUAUUAGCCCUUGUUGUUCAAAUUUGUUCUUCCUAGAUAGGUUCCAAUAUAAUUGGUUUGUUCUCUGAUAAUUGCAUUUAAUCACUGAAAUAACUUUGGCAUUAGGAAACUACAAAUUACUGCAUAUAUUAUGAUCUCAAGAAGAAAAUAAGCCCAUGGUUUCAACUGUUCAGCAGUGGAAAGGGACACCCCCAGAUUUUUAUUAUGGGCAACAUAUUAGUUGCAUCCAGAGUAUUAUGACAGAUUUUACAGGGAAAUAAUCAGCCUUAGGAUAGGACUGCUUUCUAGGGAGAUUUCACUUGCUGUGGGACUAUGUUAUAAUCAGCCUUAGUAUAAAAUCCACCCUAACAUGGAAUUCACCUACAUGCUACACUAUUUAUACGGCAGUGGCAACUAACAUGGAAUUUAGCACAUUUGAGGCAAAAGUCAACAUCAUCUACUUUGGGUCAAGGGAGAUGCAGGAGCUAUAAAAGAUUUUGCAAUUCCAUGAAAGCACAUGUAUGGCAAAUGAAAUAAGCCAGUGAGUUAGCACAUUUGAGACAAAAGUCAACAUCAUCUACUUUGGGUCAAGGGAGAUGCAGGAGCUGCAAAAGAUUAGGCUAGACGCAUUAUGACCGGACACACAAGGCCUCCUAGGGAAUCUGAUAUGAGGCAAGGUAAAUAGAUCUCAAAGCAUGAAAUCUCAAGUAUCCUAUCAGAUUGGUAUUAGUGAACUAUUAAAACAUUAUGAUCUGACAGAUUGGUAUUUGUUCAAACCAUGAUUACUGCAGAUUCUCACAUGAUGGGGAAGUUCUUCAAACAAAGUGCAUACAGCUGGUGAUCCGCAUGAGAGUAAAAUACAUACAAUUUGUUACCUUUUCUGGUGAUCCGCUAUUUCCCUGAUGGGGAAGUUCUUCAAACAAAGUGCACGUCAAGUUUCCUCAGCAAUUUGAAAAGUGCAUACAACCUAGAGGUGUGGUGUGGUUAUGUACCUUUACUCUCCCUGAUGAUUCCAGGAGUUCUGGUACCCUUUAUAUGCACGCACCAGAAAGCAUGGCUGGGCGAGUAGGAUUCUAACGAUAUUGUUGAUCCGCAAUGAUGGAGUUUCCUUUAAAAUGUGAGAGAUCCCUAAAAUGCUGGAGUUUCCGUUGAAAUGUUGCAGUUUCCUUUGAAAUGGCUGGGCGGUUUCCUUUCCUAUAGCCCUGACAUAAUGGUGUGUUGAUAAAUUAGUGUGUACUUUCCUUUCAUGUAGCCAUGAAUUAUAAUGCUGCGAUUUGGUUGUCUGUA
Lolium perenne is the source of this 2341-nucleotide non-coding RNA. Lineage: Eukaryota; Viridiplantae; Streptophyta; Magnoliopsida; Poales; Poaceae. The record is from RefSeq and is a predicted model, not a curated record.